GGAUGUGAGGGCGAUCUGGCUGCAACAUCUGUCACCCCAUUGAUUGCCAAGGUUGCUUCAGCUGAUCUGGCUGGCUAGGCAGGUGUCCCCUUCCUCCCUCACUGCUCCAUAUGCUUCCCUCCCAAAGCUGCAGCACUCAGUCAAAGAGGACGGCCUUCCCCCAAUAGAGACAGACUGCGCUCCCCUGCUAGAACCUCUAAACAAGCUCUCAAGACAUCAUUUUAAGUAUGAUAAGCCAAAGGGAGAAGGACAAAUACAAAUUAUCUCAAUUAUAGAUGGAAAUUAAGAAAUAAGU
Erinaceus europaeus (western European hedgehog) is the source of this 295-nucleotide unclassified non-coding RNA. Its record names the gene 7SK. It matches the Rfam family "7SK RNA". From Rfam's summary of the family: 7SK was discovered as an abundant small nuclear RNA in the mid-70s but a possible function has only recently been suggested. Two independent studies have found that 7SK RNA binds the CDK9/cyclin T complex (known as elongation factor P-TEFb). P-TEFb activates transcription by phosphorylating the C-terminal domain of RNA polymerase II. The record is from Ensembl. NCBI's taxonomy places the organism in Eukaryota, Metazoa, Chordata, Mammalia, Eulipotyphla, Erinaceidae.